Long non-coding RNA from Salvelinus sp. IW2-2015, 559 nucleotides. RefSeq lists it as uncharacterized. NCBI's taxonomy places the organism in Eukaryota, Metazoa, Chordata, Actinopteri, Salmoniformes, Salmonidae. The record is from RefSeq and is a predicted model, not a curated record.
GUAAGUAGAGGUGAGAUGGUAGAGGAUGUCCCAGUCUGCAGUGAAUGCCAUGCAGGGGAAGGAUCCCAACGCACUAACAACAAAGGUGGACUUUGUUGCGUUUAUAGCGCAAGCGAUAAAUUGCACUAGUCAAACUAAUAAAAAUGUAAGAAGCUAGAUAUCAUUGUGAAGGAGGCAAAUAGAUCUCCAGGACUUUACAACCAAAAUGUUACAGGGAAUACUGAAUGAAGAGGUUCCACGUCCCAGUGGGAUUGUUAGAAAUUCAGGGUUCACUAUAGACAGGUCGUGACCAGCCUCACAUUCCAGUACAGUAGGUGGCGGUGUAAACACCCGUCAGUUGUUUGCGGUCUGCGAAUACAAACUCGAAGAAAAUGACAGGCCGUUGUCUAUCUUAGGUUAGUUAUUAAAAAUAAAUCGUUGACACAGUUCUUACCACAGAAGGAUUGGAGCUAGCACCAUGGAAACAACAAGAAAGAAGAAGAGGGUGUGUAGAUGGAUUCAUUGUUUGGUAAAUCCAUUUACCUGGGAAACCAGAUGUGUGCAAUUAAUUAUCAGCUAG